RNAcentral lists this ribosomal RNA (420 nucleotides) under uncultured bacterium. Its description in RNAcentral is "bacterial SSU rRNA". It matches the Rfam family "Bacterial small subunit ribosomal RNA", at positions 356 to 773 of the family's 1533-position model. The record is from RNAcentral.
AAGGAAUAUUGGUCAAUGGACGGAAGUCUGAACCAGCCAUCCCGCGUGCAGGAUGAAGGUCCUAUGGAUUGUAAACUGCUUUUAGCAGAGACGAAACGCUUUCAUUUAUGAGAGUCUGACGGUAUCUGCAGAAUAAGCACCGGCUAACUCCGUGCCAGCAGCCGCGGUAAUACGGAGGGUGCAAGCGUUAUCCGGAAUCACUGGGUUUAAAGGGUGCGUAGGCGGGAAAUUAAGUCAGUGGUGAAAUCCUGUCGCUUAACGAUAGAACUGCCAUUGAUACUGAUUUUCUUGAAUUGGGUUGAGGUUAGCGGAAUGUGACAUGUAGCGGUGAAAUGCAUAGAUAUGUCAUGGAACACCAAUUGCGAAGGCAGCUAACUGGGCCUUGAUUGACGCUGAGGCACGAAAGCGUGGGUAGCGAAC